CAGUCGCCGCGGUAAUACGUAGGGUGCGAGCGUUAAUCGGAAUUACUGGGCGUAAAGCGUGCGCAGGCGGUUCGUUAAGACAGAUGUGAAAUCCCCGGGCUUAACCUGGGAACUGCACUUGUGACUGGCGAGCUAGAGUAUGGCAGAGGGGGGUAGAAUUCCACGUGUAGCAGUGAAAUGCGUAGAGAUGUGGAGGAAUACCGAUGGCGAAGGCAGCCCCCUGGGCCAAUACUGACGCUCAUGCACGAAAGCGUGGGGAGCAAACAGGAUUAGAUACCCCCGUAGUCCCUGUCUCUUAUAC
Molecule: ribosomal RNA, 301 nt
Filed under: uncultured bacterium
Lineage: Bacteria
Description: partial 16S ribosomal RNA
Rfam family: Bacterial small subunit ribosomal RNA
Source: RNAcentral